This 381-nucleotide long non-coding RNA is filed under the name Carica papaya (papaya). RNAcentral describes it as "long non-coding RNA (CPAP_LNC008156)". The record is from RNAcentral. Lineage: Eukaryota; Viridiplantae; Streptophyta; Magnoliopsida; Brassicales; Caricaceae.
AAUUUUUACUUUUUUUGGUAGUCGGAGGUGGCUCUAGUACGACGGCGGUCGGUGGUCGGCUCCCUUCUUCGACGACUGGUUCUUUUUCUCCGGCGGGGGGCUGGUGGUUAGAGUUUGGGUUCAAUGUAAUGCGAAAUAUUUAUAUUCAUCUUGCGUUAAUUUAGACCGUUUAUCGUGUUUAAUUUCGACUGUUCAAUCACGCAUAAGAAGGAAAUGAAUCUGAACCGUUCAUUACUUUUAAUCUUGACCGUCCGAUCGCGCCUAAGGAAGAAACAAAUUUAGACCGUUCAUCACGUUUGAUCGUGACCGUUCGAUCGCGACUGAUGAAGGAACGGAUCCAGAUUAUCCACGAACGAGGGAAGGCUUAUGGGUCAUCCGAUC